Molecule: ribosomal RNA, 530 nt
Filed under: uncultured prokaryote
Description: bacterial SSU rRNA
Rfam family: Bacterial small subunit ribosomal RNA
Source: RNAcentral
UGGGGAAUAUUGGGCAAUGGAGGGAACUCUGACCCAGCGACGCCGCGUGCGGGAUGAAGGCCUUCGGGUUGUAAACCGCUUUCAGCAAGGAAGAAGCGAAAGUGACGGUACUUGCAGAAGAAGCACCGGCUAACUAUGUGCCAGCAGCCGCGGUAAUACAUAGGGUGCAAGCGUUGUCCGGAAUUAUUGGGCGUAAAGAGCUCGUAGGUGGUUCGUCACGUCGGAUGUGAAAAUCUUGGGCUUAACCCCAGACCUGCAUUCGAUACGGGCGAGCUAGAGUGUGGUAGGGGAGACUGGAAUUCCUGGUGUAGCGGUGGAAUGCGCAGAUAUCAGGAGGAACACCAAUGGCGAAGGCAGGUCUCUGGGCCAUUACUGACACUGAGGAGCGAAAGCGUGGGGAGCGAACAGGAUUAGAUACCCUGGUAGUCCACGCCGUAAACGGUGGGCACUAGUUGUGGGAACCUUCCACGGUUUCUGCGACGCAGCUAACGCAUUAAGUGCCCCGCCUGGGGAGUACGAUCGCAAGAUUA